This 254-nucleotide ribosomal RNA is filed under the name uncultured bacterium. RNAcentral's name for it is "partial 16S ribosomal RNA". It matches the Rfam family "Bacterial small subunit ribosomal RNA", at positions 524 to 776 of the family's 1533-position model. The record is from RNAcentral.
UACGGGGGGGGCAAGCGUUGUUCGGAAUUACUGGGCGUAAAGGGCGCGUAGGCGGCCAGCACAAGUCAGUUGUGAAAUCUCCGAGCUUAACUCGGAAAGGUCAACUGAUACUGUGCGGCUAGAGUGCGGAAGGGGCAACUGGAAUUCUUGGUGUAGCGGUGAAAUGCGUAGAGAUCGGAAAGAACACCAACGGCGAAAGCACUCUGCUGGGCCGACACUGACACUGAGAGACGAAAGCUAGGGGAGCGAAUGGG